GACGGAAGGUGCAAGCGUUGCUCGGAACCACUGGGCGUAAAGGGUGCGUAGGCGGCCGUGCAAGUCUGGCGUGAAAGCCCCGGGCUCAGCCCGGGAAGUGCGCUCGAAACUGCACGGCUCGAGUGCCGGAGGGGAGAGUGGAAUUCCUGGUGUAGCGGUGAAAUGCGUAGAUAUCAGGAGGAAUACCGGUGGCGAAAGCGACUCUCUGGACGGCAACUGACGCUGAGGCACGAAAGCGUGGGGAGCAAACAGG
RNAcentral lists this ribosomal RNA (253 nucleotides) under uncultured bacterium. RNAcentral describes it as "partial 16S ribosomal RNA". It matches the Rfam family "Bacterial small subunit ribosomal RNA", at positions 524 to 776 of the family's 1533-position model. The record is from RNAcentral.